RNAcentral lists this ribosomal RNA (443 nucleotides) under uncultured Metschnikowia. RNAcentral's name for it is "partial 26S ribosomal RNA". It matches the Rfam family "Eukaryotic large subunit ribosomal RNA", at positions 96 to 498 of the family's 3401-position model. Lineage: Eukaryota; Fungi; Ascomycota; Pichiomycetes; Serinales; Metschnikowiaceae. The record is from RNAcentral.
GAGCGGCAAAAGCUCAAAUUUGAAAUUCCUUCGGGAAUUGUAUUUUGAAGGUGGGUUUGGUUAGGAAAAGUUACUUUAAGUCCAUUGGAAAAUGGCGCCAUGGAGGGUGAUAGCCCCGUAAAAGUAUCCCUUUUUCUUUUUUUCCUUUCCUCCAAAAAAUCCAAGUGGUUGGGAAUGGCGCUCUAAGUGGGUGGUAAAUUCCAUCUAAAGCUAAAUAUUGGCGAGAGACCGAUAGCGAACAAGUACAGUGAUGGAAAGAUGAAAAGCACUUUGAAAAGAGAGUGAAAAAGUACGUGAAAUUGUUGAAAGGGAAGGGCUUGCAAGCAGACACAACCUCGGUUGGGCCAGCAUCGGAGUGGGGGGAGACAAAAAAGAAAAGGAAUGUAACUCUUUCGAGUAUUAUAGCCUUUUUCUCAUAUCUCCACCCCCUUCCGAGGCCUGCG